CACUCCGGUGGCCUAGUGGUUAGAGCAUCUGCCUCGAGUGCAGGUAGCCGUCGGUUCAAUCCCCGGUCGAGUCA
Potamilus streckersoni is the source of this 74-nucleotide non-coding RNA. NCBI's taxonomy places the organism in Eukaryota, Metazoa, Mollusca, Bivalvia, Unionida, Unionidae. The record is from the annotation of a GenBank genome assembly.